Molecule: long non-coding RNA, 301 nt
Filed under: Carica papaya (papaya)
Lineage: Eukaryota; Viridiplantae; Streptophyta; Magnoliopsida; Brassicales; Caricaceae
Description: long non-coding RNA (CPAP_LNC010963)
Source: RNAcentral
UGGACCCACGGAUUGGGCUAACGCAUUAAGUGUAGGCUUGAUGGGUGCGUGCCUAGAUCGGCAGCGUGCGAGGCGCAUGUCUGGAAGGGCCUGUGCAUUGCUUGUUCUGUAUGCAGGGCCUGCGGGCCUUGCGCGUGUGCCCACGGCCAACUGCACGCAGGCCCCAAGCACAUAGGGCCUUUUUGUGUAAGCCUAUAGUGCAGACGACACGCAUAAAGUGUGCGAUGCCAGUCUGUGUGCGAAGUGAGGAACGGACGGCCAGCAAGUGGUUGAUAAGAUGCGCGCGCCAGUUCUGACCUUG